GACCAUCAUAGAAUCUUGUGCACAUGAAUCCAUGUUUUGGUUCAUAUCCAGACAUGGCAUUAAGAUUAUGUAUGGGGUGUUCUGAAUAUGAUGGAGUGUGUGUGGAGGUUGUGAGUAGGUCAACAUAGAAUCGAUCACUCCUAGUAAGAGGAGAUCGCAUCCUGUGUAUUCUCAAUCUUAGAUGACUAAGAAAAAAAUUUUUGAUCAAAAGUAGGAAGGAUAUUAGAAAGAGUUUCUAAUGCUUCUUUAUUAGAGUCAUCAUUGAUUAAUUGAGAGUCGAUAUGAAUAUGUUUGAGUUUGAUAUGGUUCCAUACUCAUGAACAUA
Molecule: long non-coding RNA, 325 nt
Filed under: Elaeis guineensis (African oil palm)
Lineage: Eukaryota; Viridiplantae; Streptophyta; Magnoliopsida; Arecales; Arecaceae
Description: long non-coding RNA (EGUI_LNC050908)
Source: RNAcentral